AGUAAAGUUACUGUUCAAGCACCUUUUCUAUUUACACUGGUUUAUUGAUUAUUGGAAACUACGAUUAUUGAGACUAUAUUUGAGGUUAUAGUCAUAGCCAUCAUUUUUUAAUCUUGUUUUAUUAUAUUUGCACAAGAC
Non-coding RNA from Caenorhabditis elegans, 138 nucleotides. NCBI's taxonomy places the organism in Eukaryota, Metazoa, Nematoda, Chromadorea, Rhabditida, Rhabditidae. The record is from Ensembl.